RNAcentral lists this long non-coding RNA (729 nucleotides) under Fukomys damarensis (Damara mole-rat). RNAcentral describes it as "lncRNA (ENSFDAG00000026549.1)". Lineage: Eukaryota; Metazoa; Chordata; Mammalia; Rodentia; Bathyergidae. The record is from RNAcentral.
AUGACGGGGGUCACACUUCACCAUCUGGUUGGCAGGCUCGAAGCAGGCAUUGGUGAUCUCCGCCACCGACAGCUGCUCGUGGUAGGCCUUCUCUGCAGAGAUGACCGGCGCGUAGGUGGCCAGGGGGAAGUGGAUGCGAGGGUAGGGCACCAGGUUGGUCUGGAACUCUGUCAGGUCCACGUUGAGGGCCCCGUCAAAGCGAAGGGAGGCAGUGAUGGAGGACACGAUCUGGCUGAUGAGGCGGUUGAGGUUGGUGUAGGUGGGGCGCUCGAUGUCCAGGUUGCGGCGGCAGAUGUCAUAGAUGGCUUCGUUGUCCACCAUGAAGGCACAGUCCGAGUGCUCCAGCGUGGUGUGGGUGGUCAGGAUGGAGUUGUAGGGCUUGACCACUGCGGUGGACACCUGGGGGGCUGGGUAGAUGGAGAACUCCAGCUUGGACUUCUUGCCAUAGUCAACAGAGAGCCGCUCCAUCAGGAGGCAGGUGAAGCCGGAGCCCGUGCCCCCUCCAAACCUGUGGAAGAUGAGGAAUCCUUAGAACCCUGUGCACUGGUCAGCCUAUUCAGGGAAGAGGACGAGAAACCUAUGGCAUGCAGUACAGCUGAUAAAAAGGAAAGAUGCAAAAGCUUCAUGAAUUCCUUGGAAGUCUUUUCCAAAAGAUCAAGAGAUCAGCAUGGAGAGGAACAACCAGGAAUAGGAGCACCAGACUGAGCAACUAAAAGUAUUUCAUGUAGC